UACAUGGGGUGCAAACGUUGCUCGGAAUUACUGGGCGUAAAGCGUGCGCAGGCGGCUAUGCAAGACAGAUGUGAAAUCCCCGGGCUCAACCUGGGAACUGCAUUUGUGACUGCAUGGCUAGAGUACGGUAGAGGGGGAUGGAAUUCCGCGUGUAGCAGUGAAAUGCGUAGAUAUGCGGAGGAACACCGAUGGCGAAGGCAAUCCCCUGGACCUGUACUGACGCUCAUGCACGAAAGCGUGGGAGCAAACAGG
Molecule: ribosomal RNA, 252 nt
Filed under: uncultured bacterium
Lineage: Bacteria
Description: partial 16S ribosomal RNA
Rfam family: Bacterial small subunit ribosomal RNA
Source: RNAcentral